Long non-coding RNA from Dermacentor silvarum, 218 nucleotides. RefSeq lists it as uncharacterized. The record is from RefSeq and is a predicted model, not a curated record. The transcript has 8 exons. Lineage: Eukaryota; Metazoa; Arthropoda; Arachnida; Ixodida; Ixodidae.
GUCACCGGAAUCGGCGCCAUCAGGCACAAUGCCACAAAGUACUGGUCCAAGCACGCAAUCUAAGCCAUGGGAAUCUAGCAUGACGCCAGGUUCAACGGCGUCGGGCACGUCACCAGGGCCGAUGCCACCAGGCACGACACCCGAGACUCCCGGUUCAGGAACGACACCACAAACUACGGCUUCUGGAACGACACCGGAGGUUUCACCUUCUGUCACGG